AGAGCUUGAAACUGUUAGUUACUUACAAACCAGCCGUUAAUUGAUCUUUCUGACUUGAAGGUCCAGGCAAAAAGAAGAUGGAAAGUUGUGGGAGAGCUGUGCAUGGAGCAAAAGGCUUCAAAUCCUGGACAGACCUCAUGGGCAGCUGGCAGGUUUCUGUAGUUCCUGCAGCAGGAGAGGGCAAUCUGGAGGACCUUAACAGCUGCAGAAGGAAGAUGAUGUUGAGUGCAGAUAUUCCAAAACCUGGACAGAAGCUGUGCCCAGUGGGUUUUUGCAGAGUGCCUGGCCUUAUGAGCAUUUGGACCUAAAGAAGGCUUCUUAUCAGAGUCUGGUAGCUUAAGCAGAGAACAAAGUAACCAAAGAACCCCCAAAGAUGAUCAAGGAGACAUUUUCUAAGUGCUGUACCAACACAGAGGAAUGCUGAGCAACUUCCGUAUUACUUUGGAGCUCCAGAGACACAAGUGGUGAGGAAGAGAAGAAGCACUUGUGUCCUAACUUCUUCAGGAGCUUAAAAAGACCUUCCUCUUGCUUCAGAGAUAAGCUAUGCUAAUUGGACUCAAAGGAAAUACUUAGUUUAUAAUAGCAAAUGAAGAAUUCAUUAAAUUCUAGCAAGGAAAAAAGUCAAGCAAUGGAACUGGACAUUAUUUUUUGAACACGUCCUCCCUUUCAAGGCUUUCAUCUGGCAGAUUGUGGUUCAUGUGCUGAACAGCAACAGCGAUUGUUGAGGUCGAAGUCCUGCACCUCUCUCACAUUUCCAGAGUACCUGGCAGGUUUAUUACAUGCAAGAUAGCUGCUGUGGGACCUGAUCAUUGACACAGCAAGGAUCUCUGAAAGAAGUACCAGAUGUGCAGAUAGCAAGAUGUUACUGUGAAGAAGAAUACCCCAUUAUAGUCCAUACCAUAAGGAGCUGAUGCAGUACACACUGUGUCCUGCAAUGCACCAUUUCAACUUUCAGUGGAGUGCCAGGCAGAAGACUGUAUGAGCCUGAAAAUAAAAUUUAUAUGGAUUUAAGCUUUGAGAAGACCCAGUGCAGGAGAAGCUCAGGACUGUUCAGUUUUAUAUUUCUUCCUCUACUUUUAAAGCUCUGAUUCCAGAAAAGGUGCAGUCAAUGUCUAACACCUAAAGUCACACAUGCCAUGUCUGCAUUACUCAACUUAUGACAAGUUUAGUGUUUCUGUGGUACUGCAGAAACAGAAAGGCUGCAUUUUACCUUUUCCGUCACUUGGCUCCUUAGUUCGUGGCUGGUUUGUUGCACAGUACACAGCUUCAGAAAAAAAAAUGCACUGAGAUAAAAGAGUUUUUCAUUAAUGUUUUGUACUGUUCUGUGAAUACAAAAAGAAUGACAUACUGGAUACUUUAUUGUGCUAGCAGAAUCUGAAAUCUAAAAAUAUGAGUUAGGCCCUAGAACUCUGAAAGUAAAACAGCACUGUAAGUACAAUCAUUUAAUAUUUUUUUCUACAAUUCAUUUAUUUUUAUUUACAUUUGAAGAAAACUCAGGUGUACUUCUCAGUAUUUGUUCAAAAACAUUAGGGGAGGAUCUGUUCAUAAGCUCCAUUUGAAGCCCUACACUCAUCAUGUAGUCAGUCACUUGGCAUUGAAGCAUGAAUAUAAACUCUGCUGUGAGUGGUGUCAGAACAAAAGUAUUUACAAAUAUACAGAAGUAAAAGCAAUGUAAAUACUUCUGUAUUUCUGUUUCUAUCACUAGCUAAAAAUCUUCCUGGGACGUUCAGUGCCUGCAUGGCAGGUAGUCAG
Molecule: long non-coding RNA, 1752 nt
Organism: Cygnus olor (mute swan)
Lineage: Eukaryota; Metazoa; Chordata; Aves; Anseriformes; Anatidae
Exons: 8
Source: RefSeq, a predicted model, not a curated record